GAUGAACGCUAGCGGCAGGCCUAAUACAUGCAAGUCGAACGGGUGGUCGCAAGACCACUAGUGGCGCACGGGUGCGUAACGCGUAACCAACCUGCCCCGAUCUGGGGGAUAGCCCGCCGAAAGGCGGAUUAAUACCGCAUAUACCCGCAGCCUGGCAUCAGGCAACGGGGAAAGAUUUAUUGGAUCGGGAUGGGGUUGCGUGACAUUAGCUAGUUGGCGGGGUAAGGGCCCACCAAGGCGACGAUGUCUAGGGGACCUGAGAGGGUGAUCCCCCACACUGGCACUGAGAUACGGGCCAGACUCCUACGGGAGGCAGCAGUAGGGAAUAUUGGGCAAUGGGCGAGAGCCUGACCCAGCCACGCCGCGUGCCGGAUGAAGGCCUUCUGGGUUGUAAACGGCUUUUCUCAGGGAAGAAAAAGACCUCGCGAGGUACACUGACGGUACCUGAGGAAUAAGCACCGGCUAACUCCGUG
This 473-nucleotide ribosomal RNA is filed under the name uncultured bacterium. RNAcentral describes it as "partial 16S ribosomal RNA". It matches the Rfam family "Bacterial small subunit ribosomal RNA", at positions 28 to 507 of the family's 1533-position model. The record is from RNAcentral.